RNAcentral lists this ribosomal RNA (446 nucleotides) under uncultured bacterium. Its description in RNAcentral is "bacterial SSU rRNA". It matches the Rfam family "Bacterial small subunit ribosomal RNA", at positions 329 to 792 of the family's 1533-position model. The record is from RNAcentral.
AGCCAGACUCCUACGGGAGGCAGCAGUGGGGGAUAUUGCACAAUGGAGGAAACCCUGAUCCAGCGACGCCGCGUGAGUGAAGAAGUAUUUCGGUACGUAAAGCUCUAUCAGCAGGAAAGAAAAUGACGGUACCUGACUAAGAAGCCCCGGCUAACUACGUGCCAGCAGCCGCGGUAAUACGUAGGGGGCAAGCGUUAUCCGGAUUUACUGGGUGUAAAGGGAGCGUAGACGGCAGCGCAAGUCUGGAGUGAAAUGCCGGGGCCCAACCCCGGAACUGCUCUGGAAACUGUGAAGCUGGAGUGCAGGAGAGGUAAGCGGAAUUCCUGGUGUAGCGGUGAAAUGCAUAGAUAUCGCGCAGAACUCCGAUUGCGAAGGCAGCUUGCCGGCUCCACACUGACGCUGAGGCACGAAAGCGUGGGUAUCGAACAGGAUUAGAUACCCGCGUA